RNAcentral lists this ribosomal RNA (253 nucleotides) under uncultured bacterium. Its description in RNAcentral is "partial 16S ribosomal RNA". It matches the Rfam family "Bacterial small subunit ribosomal RNA", at positions 524 to 776 of the family's 1533-position model. The record is from RNAcentral.
UACGAAGGGUGCAAGCGUUAAUCGGAAUUACUGGGCGUAAAGCGUGCGUAGACGGUUUCUUAAGUCUGCUGUGAAAGCCCCGGGCUCAACCUGGGAAUGGCGGUGGAUACUGAGGAGCUGGAGUACGGUAGAGGAAGGUGGAAUUCCCGGUGUAGCGGUGAAAUGCGCAGAUAUCAGGAGGAACACCGAUGGCGAAGGCAGCUCGCUGGGACGGUACUGACGCUGAGACGCGAAAGCGUGGGGAGCAAACAGG